UACGUAGGGGGCGAGCGUUGUCCGGAUUUAUUGGGCGUAAAGAGCUCGUAGGCGGUUUGUCGCGUCUGCUGUGAAAACCCGAGGCUCAACCUCGGGCCUGCAGUGGGUACGGGCAGACUAGAGUGCGGUAGGGGAGAUUGGAAUUCCUGGUGUAGCGGUGGAAUGCGCAGAUAUCAGGAGGAACACCAAUGGCGAAGGCAGAUCUCUGGGCCGUAACUGACGCUGAGGAGCGAAAGCAUGGGGAGCGAACAGG
This 253-nucleotide ribosomal RNA is filed under the name uncultured bacterium. RNAcentral describes it as "partial 16S ribosomal RNA". It matches the Rfam family "Bacterial small subunit ribosomal RNA", at positions 524 to 776 of the family's 1533-position model. The record is from RNAcentral.